UACGUAGGGGGCUAGCGUUGUCCGGAUUUAUUGGGCGUAAAGAGCGUGUAGGCGGCCAAGUCGGUCCGGUGUGAAAACUCGAGGCUUAACCUCGAGAUGUCAUCGGAAACCAUUUGGCUAGAGUCCGGAAGAGGAAAGUGGAAUUCCUGGUGUAGCGGUGAAAUGCGCAGAUAUCAGGAGGAACACCGGUGGCGAAGGCGGUUCUCUGGGCAUGAUCUGACGCUGAGGAGCGAAAGUGUGGGGAGCGAACAGG
This 253-nucleotide ribosomal RNA is filed under the name uncultured bacterium. RNAcentral's name for it is "partial 16S ribosomal RNA". It matches the Rfam family "Bacterial small subunit ribosomal RNA", at positions 524 to 776 of the family's 1533-position model. The record is from RNAcentral.